Molecule: ribosomal RNA, 699 nt
Filed under: Klebsiella ornithinolytica
Lineage: Bacteria; Pseudomonadati; Pseudomonadota; Gammaproteobacteria; Enterobacterales; Enterobacteriaceae
Description: Raoultella ornithinolytica partial 16S rRNA
Source: RNAcentral
GUCCAGGGGGCCGCCUUCGCCACCGGUAUUCCUCCAGAUCUCUACGCAUUUCACCGCUACACCUGGAAUUCUACCCCCCUCUACAAGACUCAAGCCUGCCAGUUUCAAAUGCAGUUCCCAGGUUGAGCCCGGGGAUUUCACAUCUGACUUAACAGACCGCCUGCGUGCGCUUUACGCCCAGUAAUUCCGAUUAACGCUUGCACCCUCCGUAUUACCGCGGCUGCUGGCACGGAGUUAGCCGGUGCUUCUUCUGCGAGUAACGUCAAUCACUAAGGUUAUUAACCUUAACGCCUUCCUCCUCGCUGAAAGUACUUUACAACCCGAAGGCCUUCUUCAUACACGCGGCAUGGCUGCAUCAGGCUUGCGCCCAUUGUGCAAUAUUCCCCACUGCUGCCUCCCGUAGGAGUCUGGACCGUGUCUCAGUUCCAGUGUGGCUGGUCAUCCUCUCAGACCAGCUAGGGAUCGUCGCCUAGGUGAGCCAUUACCCCACCUACUAGCUAAUCCCAUCUGGGCACAUCUGAUGGCAUGAGGCCCGAAGGUCCCCCACUUUGGUCUUGCGACGUUAUGCGGUAUUAGCUACCGUUUCCAGUAGUUAUCCCCCUCCAUCAGGCAGUUUCCCAGACAUUACUCACCCGUCCGCCGCUCGUCACCCGAGAGCAAGCUCUCUGUGCUACCGCUCGACUUGCAUGUGUUAGGCCU